RNAcentral lists this long non-coding RNA (1171 nucleotides) under Cyanistes caeruleus (blue tit). RNAcentral's name for it is "lncRNA (ENSCCEG00000013451.1)". Lineage: Eukaryota; Metazoa; Chordata; Aves; Passeriformes; Paridae. The record is from RNAcentral.
CUGUGGGAGCGCCGCUUCCAGGGCCUCAGGCGGCUCCGAGUUUCUCCUGAAAGUUGCGGUUUUGCCGCCUGUACACUCGACAUAUGGCGUUUUCUUCAGUAAUCUACAUCUGAAAUAAAGUAUUUUGUGCGUCGCUUGGGUUUAGAUUAUCCGUGAGCAGGCAUAACAGCAGGCGUGAUGUCAUUGCACCGCUCCCCCUGAGUUUGAGUGCGUUACCCCUUUCUCUCCCACUAUAGUUCGCAGAAUGUUGGCCUCCGUGAUUCCUGAGCUGCUCCAAGCCUUUGGCUUAGCUCGCUCCUGGAGGAGUGGCCUGAUCCUCGCGGUUCCCAGUGAGGCCUUGCAGCGCCCGGUCGGGUGCGAUCCUGCUUCCCCGCCCGGACUCGCUGAAUACAAAGCUUUUGUAUUAAAUACAAGGAAGGUGCUACUCCAGCUCGGGAGUCCUGUGUGGGGUUAUACAAACUUAUUCCAAGCCUUGCAUUCCUGGUCCUAACGGCCACUCGGGGACAACAGGAAGCGGCCACAUACCAAACACGCCUCGCAAGAUUUUCCUUCCUAUUCGAAAAGGGAACUCCUUUUACCACCUAUUCCAGCAUUACUACAAUGAACAUAACACAGAAUGGACACUCAGCAUGGGAAUGAGGAGGAGAAAAGCUGCCAGAGAGCAGAGAGCCUGAACAAGAACCAAGCGGGUGACAUGUGGGUGGUGGCUCACAUGAAGCUCUUCAUUUCCAGAGGCCACACAACUGUCCAGCCUUGCAGACCAGCAGGUAUUGCUGAGGUAGAAAAUGCUGCCCAGCAGCAGUCCCUCGGUGGAAGGAGAGUCACAGCACCUCUUCAACACAUGACCCCUCACACCAGCUCUUCCACCAGGCUCCUGUGGGGACCCCCAGCCCCAUGGGAUGCUCCAUGCUGGCACUUUCUGUGCCAGUCAGGCCAGGAGCUCUCACUCCUGUUCCCCUCAAUGCUGAGCUGCCUGUCCUGCAAUGUCUGUUCUUUCCCACUGACCACAGCAGUGGGAAAAUUAACCACCCCUAUGGGAGAGCUACCAGGCACACUGGGAACAGAUGAUUUACCUUCCAGCUCCUCUGCCAGAGGACUCUCAAAGCAAAGCCACUGCUGCUGGGGAAUCAGCUUCUGCUCCAAAAGCCUGAACAGGUCCCAUAGGAUUUGA